This 497-nucleotide ribosomal RNA is filed under the name uncultured bacterium. Its description in RNAcentral is "partial 16S ribosomal RNA". It matches the Rfam family "Bacterial small subunit ribosomal RNA", at positions 35 to 507 of the family's 1533-position model. The record is from RNAcentral.
GGGGGGGGGGGGGGGGGGGGGGGGGGCGGGGGGGGCGGGCGGGCGGGGGGGGGGCGGGCGCGUCGGACGGGGGCGGCGGGCGGGUGAGGGACACGUGGGUAACCUACCUAUAGGACUGGGAUAACGGCGGGAGACCGGAGCUAAUCCCGGGCAAUCUAUUGAACCGCGUGGUUCAAGGGUGCAAGACGGGUGUGCUGGCCCUUCUAGAGUGAUCCGCGCCGCAUUAGCUAGUUGGGAAGGUAACGGCUUACCAAGGCAACGAUGCGUAGCCGACCUGAGAGGGUGAUCGGCCACACUGGAACUGAGACACGGUCCAGACUCCUACGGGAGGCAGCAGUAGGGAAUCUUCCGCAAUGGGCGAAAGCCUGACGGAGCAACGCCGCGUGAGUGAUGAAGGUCUUCGGAUCGUAAAACUCUGUUAUUAGGGAAGAACAAAUGUGUAAGUAACUAUGCACGUCUUGACGGUACCUAAUCAGAAAGCCACGGCUAACUACGUG